GCAAGUCGAACGAGAACGUGGACUUCUGUCCGCGAGUAAAGUGGCGCACUGGUCAGUAACGCGGGAAUAAUCUACCCCUGAAUUUGGGAUCACAGUUCGAAAGGGCUGCUAAUACCGGAUGACAUUGUCUUUUUUACGGAUUAGACGAUCAAAGAGGGCCUCUCCUUGGAAGCGUUUGUUUGGGGAUGAGUUCGCGUACCAUUAGCUUGUUGGUGGGGUAAUGGCCUACCAAGGCUGCGAUGGUUAGCUGGUUUGAGAGAAUGAUC
RNAcentral lists this ribosomal RNA (266 nucleotides) under uncultured bacterium. RNAcentral's name for it is "partial 16S ribosomal RNA". It matches the Rfam family "Bacterial small subunit ribosomal RNA", at positions 57 to 305 of the family's 1533-position model. The record is from RNAcentral.